CAAUAUUAUUUAUCUUAAGAGUUCAGUGUCUCGAUAACUAAUACGCCACCAUGGAAUAAAUAUAUCUACUUGCCGAUUAAUUUCCUUUGCAUUCUUGGCAGUAGAGAGCGAAGAAAAUAAUGAGAAAAAAUCGUGAGAAGGUACGUUCGAAUUUAUCGGAACGAACGGUUUUCACUUCGAACGCUUGCUUUGAACAAACGUGGCUGUGGCAGGCAACCACUUUCUUCUAGGAACAUAUUUUAAAUUAUUCAAAAUAGUUCAUAACAAAUUUUCAGUAAUUCAUAUUAAAUUUCGCUGUGUACUUGACGAGACUGGAGAAAAAUUAUAACAUUAUUAUGAGUUGUCGUGCAAAUAUGAAAGAUUGCAUUCGCUGAAUAAAAAGCAUUCGCUAAACUCGACAAAGUGCCCAGAUUAAUUCAUCGAGUAAUUUUUUUUAAAUCUAUUGAACGUAUCAACCGACAGAUAGAUCUGGAUCGUUCUGGCUUGUUAUUUUGAAACAGCCUGUACGCGCGAUGAUUAAUGUCGGUAGUUUACAAAGCGUUCGUCCUGACUGGAAAGGUCGACGUUUCACGAGCGAACGCUUCGUAACUAAAAAUAUCAUUCCGACAAAUAACUUGCAUAAAUGUUACGUCACUUUAAUGCAGCGUUAACGUAACGCGAAUACCAGCGUGCAAGAUACCGAAGGAAUUGUCGAUCAUUCUGCCACGAACACGUUUAAGGUAUCGUAGAUUACGAAGGAAUUUGCUUGCCGAUCUGAUAAAAAAUAUUCGCUUGUUGUACGCGAUCGUUCUUCUCGCGGAUAGCAUAUAAGAUCGGAAAUAGGGAACAGAGGAUCGCGGAUGCUGAGGGAAAAUUUUCUCGUUCUCCUUGGCAGGCUUCCUUCUACUCUCGUGAUGGCUCCAGUCCACUGACCGAGACUCGGAUGCCAUGCUAUAAAGCCGAAGAAAAAGUCGCGAUCGUAAACUCGGCUUGCUUCCGCACCUCGCGAUAGUUCCAUGGCUAUCGACGUUGCUUUUCGUGGAAGAUCGCGCGAAGCGUUAGAAACUGCAAGGAUUCGUUGAAUUUCCAUCGGUGAAACUCGUCCGAGUUUCGAAUUAGGGCUUGCCCCUGCCGUCGCGACGAUUCGCUCUCGAUAAUAUUCAUCUUUCAUUGUUUCGACCCUACGAAUGUCUAUAUGCAGUCGUCAGAAUCCAUUCUCUUGACCUAUGAACACAUGUAUACAUGAUAGAUGCUUGUAAAAAUUCCGUUGCUGUUGCCUACUAUUUAUGGAUGCUUACGUGCUCAUAAUAUGUAAAAAUAUAUAAAAUAUCGAAAUUAAAGUGGCCAUUAUAAUAUUUAACAGGUGAAACGAAUCAUUAUUUAGAUUCCAUUCCUUUUACUACGAUCGUAAAGAUACGAAAUUGCACAAAUACUCGCUGUUUUAGUGAUAAGAGUUAAACACUUCGUCGAUGUUAAGCCAUUGGCGUACUAAUUAUUUCGCAUUGAACGUUCCCGUAUAUGCGUAUCUUUACGGAAACUCUGAAUCAGAUAGCUCGCAAUUGGGACAAUUUUUUCAAAAUUCCCACAGUUUUUAUUUAGAGUAUCGUUAUUUGUGCAAGAAUUUGGAAGGAACGACGAUUAACAAAACGUUUAAAUUGAAGAAACGGCCACAAUUUCGCACCGCUGACAGACGGUUGUACACGGCCAUAAGUUGAUACGUGGCACGGAAAUCAAUUAGUACCGAAACGGUUCAUAUCUUUGUGUAUCUUUGCUUGCUUCUUUAUUUUGUGCAUUAAUAUCUCUCGAUGACAACGAGGAGAUUCAAAGGAAUUAUUCGAAAAUGGGACCGUGACACGAAAAUUAUAUCAGAGUUUUAUGUAAUCGAGUGCGAUAAUUGAGACAGUGGAACGCGAUACACCGUGCAGAUUGUAACCGGAGGAACGUUUACGAUGGAAAAUUGGAGGACUUGGUUAGCGCGACAUGUUUUCGACAAGUGGCGGCAUCGACGACGAAUAAAUAAGGAGACAAGAACGUGUAAUGACCCACACUCGAUUAUUGCGAAGCAGAAAGAGAUAGGCGUGCUUCUCGCGACGAGAACAGGCGAGAUAAAGACGAGCAGAUAGAAAAUAUGGCCAUGAUAUUUACUAACGCGGCCUCCACGUGAAAGUGCUCGGUCUUCGCUUUGCGCUGUGUUCGAGGAGCGCGUACGGUGUCAUGUAACGGGUGACAUGACCGAACCUUUUCAAGAAAAACAAGAUCAUGCCCGGCUCGUUUGGAAAUGUCACGUUUCAAGCGUUAUCCAGCCUCGAUGAGAGAUAGUUAGUAUUCAUUUAUUCCAAGGAUUCUGCGACUAUGUUUACCCUGAUGACUGCUACACCUGGCGUACUGAAGGGCAACUACAACGUGCAGCAAAAAUAGGACGGUCGAGUUAAGAGAGAUUCCUGUAGGAUGGAAUUUGACCUAAAUAAGAGAAUCGCUUUGUAGAAGCACGGACUCCCUUCCUUAACAGCUGUUGGUAAAUUCUCGGUCACGGUACGAGAAUGAACAAUUACGUAGAUCGCAGAAGGCCGCGGACAGGUGGUUCGAAGAAGCCGAGGACUGGGUCCAUUGUAGGAAAUGACCAUGACGAGCGUGGCUGUCGCCCCGGGUAGCCUCGGUGCACCUCCAUCUGUGCUCACCCCGAAAAUGUAUCAUCUACAGCAGGGGUUAAACCCAACAUCGGUCUCACCUACUCCCGGAAAGAAUUACGACACGCUGAGCAAAGGGAAGAAAUCGUGGAGUGUGAGACUGGGUCUGUCGCGACAGAAUCAAAGCACCGAUGAUCCUGGCAAAGUGUGGGGAACGAUAAGCGGCGGCAGCGGAAUAUCGCGUCAAAUGAUCUACGGGGAUCCAUGGCUCUAUGGUACGGUUCGGUCUUCGAGACCUGGACACGAGCCACGAGGCUUCAUGACACCACCGCCUCCGCCGCCACCGGGAGCACCAGUAUUGGUAGUAUGUUCCUGUCCGGAAUUUCUCAGUGGAACCACCCGGAAAUUCGGCAAUUGCCGCAAGUGCGGUGGUCACCGAUUGGCUGGUGUACCUUUAGGAGGAACAUGUCGGUUACCACCGGUUUCCUCGAGGUCGAGGCCCAGCCUCGCCGGAGUGCUGAGGUCAUCGAUAGACGAUCCGUACGACCUGAUGCGUCGGAAUCGGCUAGUGGAGCCGAGGACGCGAGCACGCAGUAUUUCGCCGCACCGACCAUUGUCUCAACGCGAUUCUCGGAGCCAAAGUAUGGCGCGGAACACGAAAGAGCGAAAGGGCUCGAUCGAAGGUACUUCCUCGAAAUCCGAAUGGUUCGACAAAGAGGCGACCGCGAGCUACGAGGACACAGGACGCAAGCAACGUGCGAACUUCAUUGGCGUGUCCACGGACGAAUGGCUGGAGGAAUCGCCACUGCUGGCAGAUUCACGAAAUCAAUCGGUCUCGACGACCGCUGUCAGGCUGCUUCGAAUUCCGAAAAAGGUGAAAAGCGCGAAGAACGAUUGGUCGGAUUGCUCGGUGGUGAAAACACCGGAAAUCAGUCAGACGAAAAGCAACCAUCAAGAUGACUGGAAAGAGAGGCCGUCGAGCGCCGGUGAUUCAAGAAAGAGCAUCCUCGUGUGCGACGUAAAUCCCUAUUUGUUGUUGAAGAAACAAAAGGACGAGGACGAUCUGAGCGACGACCUGUCGGACAACGCCCUCGAGCAGGAUGACGCGAGACCGCUUUCCAGCCUGUUCGAUCCCUCGAAAGUGAAAUCGAUCGAGAGGAUACCGAACAGAAGCGCGGUCGCCGCGAUCGGUGGCCAGAGAAUAAGGGUGUUCAACGAGCCACGAGAAAUCUCAGACGACGAGGAAGUUGCACCGGUCACGAGGAUUCCCAUACCAAAGGUUUCACCGAAGCGACCACCGAGAAGGCUGAAGGAAGCCAAACAAACGCUGAAGAGUAUUCUGAAGCGGGGGAAGGUGCUCGAGACACGUAGGAAGAACGUCCUGUUCAACGUCGACAAUGUUAUAUUCGCGCCUGAAAAACCGUCCGAAGUAACGCGACUAUCGUGGAGCAGAACCGGCAGGAUCGCGAGCUGCGGCUCUCCCAGAGAGCAACCGAAUAAUGACGAGUCGGAGGAGGGUGAGGAAGAGGAAGAGGAAGAGGAAGAAGAAGAAGAGGAGGAGGAGCCAGUAACUGUAUCAUCGCACGAGCAAAGAGAAAAGUAUAAUUUCAUCACCAUUCCGAAUAUCAAGGAUCCAAAGGUGGAUAGAGUUCGACCGAAGGAACCUAGAAUCUCGCAGCAUGUGUGCCAAAAUCCUAUUAACCCUGUUGAAGGAAUUAAGGUAGAUAAAUUCGUAUCCUCUUGCGAUGCGGAACGUGUUGCCUCGAAGAAAAAAGAGAACAUCGAGGUACAACGGCGGAGCGAAGAUAUCGUUCCACGAAACUUCACUGAUCAAACUGUUCACUCGUCGAGACGCGAGAACGCGAAGGAAGAGAACGAAGAAAGGAAAAGGAUAGAGGAGACGAACGAGAUCAGAAUGAAGAAAGACACCGAAUCGCAGAUCAAGAUCGAGGAAUGCAAGGAUCGUAUUCCAGGCAUCGCCGUAGACGAAAAGGACCUGAUAUUAAAGUCUGAGGAAAACUCCAAAAAAUCAUCUUUAUCACGCAGCCAAAGCGAACGAUCGUUUAACAGACCAGAGGUAUCAGCUGGCGAUGUGCUUUUUAUGGACACCAUGCGCCUCAGCCUGUGUAGAAGAGUGAAAGAAUCGUCGCCAGGUUCGAACGAGCAAACGAUUCGACAUAAAGAUUCGAUCGAAUCUACGACAGCGACGAUAAAAGAUUCAGACUUGAAGGAAGAGACUGAUUCGAUUAAAAUAGAAUGUCAAUCGGAAUUAUCAAAUGCAAAAGAAAUCGAAGAAGUUCCUGCUGAAAGUAUAAUUAAGCCAGAAAUGGAACCUUCGAUAGAAAUUCAAAGGAAUUUUGAUGGGAACGGUGAUCAUUUCCGAGGAAUGAGGCCAACAAGUUGGUCUCCUCCGCCUGGAAAACAGAAACAUCGUUACAAAAUCAGCGAUUCUGAUGCGAAACUGAAAAUCGUGAAUAAUACUGAAUCGGAACGAAGCAGUCCACUGUUGAAGACCACUUGGAGCACAUCGAAUUCCUACGGAUCGUCGAAAAUCGAGAUCGGAUCACCGACCAUGGAAAACAACGUGUAUAAAAUCACAGUCAGUCCCCGAGCUUCGCCUCUUGUACAUCGAUUGCAGAUAGGCCCAGGUACUAAUGGGUCGAGAAGAACGUCGAUUUUAAUCAACGGUGACACAACGCCUACCGCUGAAACAUCGCCGGACAACAAAGUGACCAUCAGCGUCGGUGGAGAAGAUAGCGUUUACAACCCCACGGUGAUCUCGGUAAACUCGGAAAAUUUGCCACGAAUAAAGAGUUCUAGCGAAAAUCGAACGCUUGUGAUCUUAGACAACUACAAGUCAAAUAUCGUGGUCGAAUCUGUCAAAGAGAACGACAAAGAAGAUAUAAAAUCAAAACCGUUAAAUGCGACUGAAUCGGAAUCUAUCGAACAAACCGAAUAUUCUCGAAGAAACAACGAAACCUCGUCCGAGAAUAGAAUAGCGUCAAGUGUCCUAGAAACGUCAAGGGACUCUGAGAAGCAAAUGAGAUCAAAUAUCGAAAGUAAAACUUCUGCCACAGAGAAGAGUGGUAAGUUUUACAUAACGAACGAACGAGCGACACGAACGGAACAAACAACACAGCAAAAAGAUGCGGAAAAUUCGUCGAAACUUUUGGGACUGUCGAAAGAGGCACUGAUCUCGAAACUGCUCGAGGAUUCCCUAAGGAAGGCAAGAAAAAAUGGAGAGAUCCUCGACGAAGACAGCGGCGAAGCUAUUUUGAAAAUACUGAAGCAAAGUUUGCUGAAGAGCAAGGAGUACGAGAGUUCCGAGUCGACUCUCGAGGCAAAUUACUCGAGAGCAUCCAGCUUAAAUUCGGAUGGCGAUUUUAUUUCAACGAAUCUCUUCCUUGAGGAGAAUCCCUAUGAGGUAAUCAAGGAGCCCAUUUACGAGGAGAUUCCCGACGAACCUCCGCCUCUGCCACUGAGUCCGCCACCCACGGAGGAUUACAUAAAAGACAGAAUAUAUUUCGGUGACAUCGAUUACUAUAGAAAAAGUAAUUGCGAUCAGUUCCUUGGGUCCUACUUGACAGACAAUGUUUUCAAAAAAUCCGAGGAUGUUGCUGAAACGUAUUUGUCGAAGAGUCCCGAGGACUUCUUCAAGAAAAUAUCUACGUCGCCGGAAGAAGAGAAUAUCUCAAGUAAAUUCGAAUUGCUUAAUUACCUUAUGGACUCGAAGGAUCAAACAACAUCCAUCGAGGAGGAAGAUGACGACGAUGAUGAGGACGAAGAAGAUACGGAGGGAGAUCUUGAAGCGCUGUAUGAGCAAAAGGAGACCAGCCUCGGCGAUCUUAGUUCGAAGAGUUCGCAGAUAUCCAACGUUUCCGAUAGCAGUGAGGAAUGCAAUAUUAUAUUGACCAGCUCAUCGGAAACAUCAAAAGUAAGAGCCGUAGAUAUAGAAAGAACUGAUAGCGGAGUGGGAUCAGAAAGCAGUCAAGCCAGCAGCACUCGGGGCGUGCCAAGACGUUGGAGGGCAGGAAAUGUCUCUUCGGGACCAGGAAGUCUCCUCAGUGGAAUCCCACAAGUGAUUUCCGGUGAUUCAAAGCACUGCGAGGACUGCGAACAACGUUUGGAUCCUUUAAUAACAGACAGUGGUGUAGUGUACGCCCCUUUCGUGUGUAGAAAAUGCUCUAAAAAGAGAGUAGAGCGCAAAGAAAUCAUUACAGAGAUUGUAGAGACUGAACAAAAGUACGGAAGAGAUCUACAAAUUAUUCUCGAAGAAUUUCACAGACCUAUGCUAAGGGCUGGGCUUCUCACAUCCGAACAGCUUGCAGCGAUUUUCCUCAACGUAGAAGAACUUCUCGAACACAACCUUGUACUCGCAGAGAAAUUAAAAGAUGCCGUGGAAUUUGCUCAGGAAUCCGGGGAUGAAGAUCUUCUAACGGUAGAUGUAGGAAAAAUCUUCCUGGAAUCUGAGCGGAUGUUACAUGCAUUUGAAAGCUAUUGUACCCGUCAAGGAAGCGCAAGCUUAUUAUUACAGAAUUUAGAGAAGGAAAAAGAACUAUUGCGAAUUUUUCUAAAGGUUUCGCAAAUGGAAAACACUGUUUUACGUAGAAUGAAUUUGAAUUCCUUCCUAAUGGUUCCCGUUCAAAGAGUAACGAAAUAUCCUCUCCUGUUGGCUCGAUUACUGAAAGCUACGCCUUCUGUACGACCAGACAUACAAGAAGCAAAGGAAAGACUAAAACAAGCUCAGGCUACCAUAGAGUUACAUUUGGAACAUAUGAAUGCUGAAGCAAAGGAUGUAACUUCGACAAAGCUUUGGAGAAGAAUUUCAAUUAUUCAGAAUGGUAGACGACCUAUUGGUGAACAGGAUAUGGUGAAUAUAAAAUUAAGGAAGAUGGCCGUAGAAGUAUUAGAAUGGGCUCACGAAGAAGCAAAAUUCGUAUUAGAAGGACGUCUUUUAGUUGCUCAGCCAACAGAUAACAAUUGGAGACGCGGACGUACUGUUAAGCUUGCUCCUGUAACUGCCAUGUUGGUUACUAAUGGCAAGCCAAAUGCAGAGGACCUUGAAUUUAACGACGAUUCUCUAUUUCCAAGACACAUUGGUAUCAAGGAAGCUACGUUAUUGCUAGUUAAAGAAAAACUUGGACGUUAUUCAUUAUUGCGCGAACCGUUGUAUCUGGAUAAGUGUAUAGUAUGUUGUGAAACAGACCUUGAAGAUUAUUUCGAAAUUCAAGAAUUAUCAUCAAAGGAAACUUUUAUAUUUAAGGCCGAAGAUGGCGCCAGAACAAAGAGGUGGUGUAGGACGUUACAAACACACGCACAAUCUCUUGGUGCAUGGCGUAAACGUCGUGGAGCGCUGCCAAAUAUCAUGAUAUGCGGUGUCGCGAGAAAUUGAUGAAGAAACGACAUGAUUAAAUAUAAAAGUAGAAUCUAAAUUUACAGGUAUUAUUUAAAGAUGAAUUAGCAGUGAUUUAUCAAGGAGAAUAUAUGUGUUGGACCAAAAGAUUUCCUCUGCUCAUUGGUGGUACGUAUCAAUGAGUAAUAUGAAAAUCUAACUCUUGCCGUGCGCAGACUAUUUUGCGUUCGGUUACAGUACGUUGCAGAAACUUAAGUUUCCUACGUCGCUGUAGCCAACACGUUGUACAACAUUAUAUAACGUCACAAAUUGUUCUGUUUUUCCCUUCUCCCGGAUGCCGCAACUACAUGUAUACCGAAUGAGUAAUUACCCACGCGUAGGACUAUUUAACAUUUGCAUUGAAGCUAAAAGAACAGAGAGUAGCUGUGAUACUGACCGGUGUAGUAUUGGGUACUUUUUAUCAGAUUAUAUCAAAUACUGCAGUACGAAUCGAGCUUUUAUUUCUAUGUAUUUUUAUAAAGACAUUUAACUUUCCCGAAAAUAAAUUGAUAAUAAUGUACAUAAUUUAAAAAAUGAGGUAAUAGGGUUAUUAUAUUUUGUACCCUUACGGUUUACGAGAACUAAGAAACUGCCAAAUGUUCCGUAAAAUCAAGCUUGGUAAUGAUUUAUAUAUAAAUUAAUUAAUCUACUAGAUAUAGUAUAUAACUAUUCCUUGAAAAAUAAUUAACAAUAUUUUAUGGCGUCUAACACACAAACUUGAAAUUGUAUAUUGUACAAUAAUUUUAUUUAAGACCUAAGCCAUAUGUUUUGUAUAUAGAUGUAUAUUUAUAUUGAGAUUGGUUUUAGACACAUAAUUGUUAUUUUAAAUCCGUCAUUCAAUAAAAAUCAAAUAUACUUAUUUGCAUGCUGUAUAUUACAGCAUGAUCAAUAUUGUUCCUUAUUUACCAUAUUCAUUACUCAUGUGUCAGCUAGAAACAAUAAUAAAUACAAAUAGAUUUGUUUUAAAAAAAUCAAUAUUUUUUCUACCAAAAUAGAUAUAUCUAUACAUGUACAAGUACAGGUACUGUAUGAUAUCGAUAGUUUUUUGUUUAUCCUUGUCACAUAUUAAAAAGUCAUCAAUAUCGAAAAGGUUAGGUUCGAUCUGUACAUUUACCAAUAAUUAAACAUGAAUUACAAAAUUUACUAAACAUAAUAAAUGAUAUUUAAAAAAUGUUAAAUACUAAGAAAAUUAAAACCAUUCUUCUGACGUAUACGCAGUCACUAAAACGCACAACUAUAGACAAAAAUAUAUUGAAAUGGGAGUUUUUUUUGCGAAUAUCUUAGAAACUAAAACUGACUGCCAGUUAUAUGUAUAGAAACAAGUUGUUCAAAAUGUUGCACUUUAAACAUAUUCAAAAAGUAUCAAAAUCAGAGAGAAAGUAGCACUCCUACAACUUCACCAAAUAUAGUUACAAUUACAUUAUAAAUUAUACAAUUAUAUAUUCGAUAAUUUUAAAAUUGAGAUAUAAAUUAGAAAUGACAAAUAAUUUUAUCAGACCUUCUCUCGCGUGACAUAAACAGGUAUAUCAAACAUCAGUGUAUCAAAUUUAAAUAGUAAUCAAUAAAUAUUUGAAAAAUAUUUAUAAUACACAAAUUGUUUCGAAUAUAACGAAUAUAUAUAUAAGCUGAUAUAUAUAAAUAUGAUAAAAAUAAACAUUGAUCAAUAAUGACUAUAUCUCAAUAAAAAAUAGAAGUUUGCUGUAUAUAAGCUUUUGUUGAUUUGUCCUGCUACUUUUUAAAUACUAAAAGUUUAAUAUUUAAAUUAAUCCUUAUGUGCUACAACAAUGCUACAAUCUACGUAUUUUAUGAAUUUCGUAAUACGAAGUAAGCAAUGAAUGUAAGGGGUUCUCAAACAUCCAUUCACUUGUUUUUAUAAUUCAGAACCCCUGACCUGUCAUAAACAACGAAGAUGGCUUAAGG
This is an RNA transcript of Bombus terrestris (buff-tailed bumblebee), 9918 nucleotides long. RefSeq lists it as uncharacterized. The transcript has 15 exons. Lineage: Eukaryota; Metazoa; Arthropoda; Insecta; Hymenoptera; Apidae. The record is from RefSeq and is a predicted model, not a curated record.